CUGGAAGCAUGGGGANCCCUUCGCUCUCAGC
RNAcentral lists this non-coding RNA (31 nucleotides) under Rattus norvegicus (Norway rat). The record is from RNAcentral. Lineage: Eukaryota; Metazoa; Chordata; Mammalia; Rodentia; Muridae.